CCUUAAAGAACCUGCCUUUGUAGUGCUCACACAGAUUGUCUGAUGAAAGUAAAGAAGCAAGGCGUCUUGCGAUUGAGACUUCAGUGUCCCCUUCGUCUAGAGGCCCAGGACACCGCUCUUUCACGGCGGUAACAGGGGUUCGAAUCCCCUAGGGGACGCCACUUGCUGGUUCGUGAGUGAAAGACGCGUGCCGAACUAUCUCAAAACUCAUCUUCGGGUGAUGUUUGAGAUAUUUGCUCUUUAAAAAUCUGGAUCAAGCUGAAAAUUGAAACGACACACAGUCAAUGUGUGUUCGAGUCUCUCAAAUUUUCGCAAUCAGAAGUGAAACAUCUUCGGGUUGUGA
This 343-nucleotide unclassified non-coding RNA is filed under the name Klebsiella pneumoniae subsp. pneumoniae. RNAcentral's name for it is "partial 16S-23S ribosomal RNA intergenic spacer". The stretch from base 239 to 336 matches the Rfam family "Salmonella enterica Typhi npcRNA 44". Lineage: Bacteria; Pseudomonadati; Pseudomonadota; Gammaproteobacteria; Enterobacterales; Enterobacteriaceae. The record is from RNAcentral.